CGGGACGUGGGGGGCGGCUUACACAUGCAGUCGAGCGGAACGAUACCAGCUUGCUGGUAGGCGUCGAGCGGCGGACGGGUGAGUAAUACUUAGGAAUCUACCUAGUAGUGGGGGAUAGCUCGGGGAAACUCGAAUUAAUACCGCAUACGACCUACGGGAGAAAGGGGGCAGUUUACUGCUCUCACUAUUAGAUGAGCCUAAGUCGGAUUAGCUAGAUGGUGGGGUAAAGGCCUACCAUGGCGACGAUCUGUAGCUGGUCUGAGAGGAUGAUCAGCCACACCGGGACUGAGACACGGCCCGGACUCCUACGGGAGGCAGCAGUGGGGAAUAUUGGACAAUGGGGGAAACCCUGAUCCAGCCAGCCGCGUGUGUGAAGAAGGCCUUUUGGUUGUAAAGCACUUUAAGCAGUGAAGAAGACUCCUCGGUUAAUACCCGUGGACGAUGACAUUAGCUGCAGAAUAAGCACCGGCUAACUCUGUGCCAGCAGCCGCGGUAAUACAGAGGGUGCAAGCGUUAAUCGGAAUUACUGGGCGUAAAGCGAGCGUAGGUGGCUUGAUAAGUCAGAUGUGAAAUCCCCGGGCUUAACCUGGGAACUGCAUCUGAAACUGUUAGGCUAGAGUAGGUGAGAGGAAGGUAGAAUUCCAGGUGUAGCGGUGAAAUGCGUAGAGAUCUGGAGGAAUACCGAUGGCGAAGGCAGCCUUCUGGCAUCAUACUGACACUGAAGCUCGAAAGCGUGGGUAGCAAACAGGAUUAGAUACCCUGGUAGUCCACGCCGUAAACGAUGUCUACUAGUCGUUGGGUCCCUUGAGGACUUAGUGACGCAGCUAACGCAAUAAGUAGACCGCCUGGGGAGUACGGCCACAAGGUUAAAACUCAAAUGAAUUGACGGGGGCCCGCACAAGCGGUGAGCAUGUGGUUAAAUUCGAUGCAACGCGAAGAACCUUACCUGGUCUUGACAUAUCUAGAAUCCUGCUGAGAUGCGGGAGUGCCUUCGGGAAUUAGA
Molecule: ribosomal RNA, 1003 nt
Filed under: uncultured bacterium
Lineage: Bacteria
Description: bacterial SSU rRNA
Rfam family: Bacterial small subunit ribosomal RNA
Source: RNAcentral